Molecule: ribosomal RNA, 564 nt
Filed under: uncultured Halomicronema sp.
Lineage: Bacteria; Bacillati; Cyanobacteriota; Cyanophyceae; Nodosilineales; Nodosilineaceae
Description: bacterial SSU rRNA
Rfam family: Bacterial small subunit ribosomal RNA
Source: RNAcentral
GAGUUUGAUCCUGGCUCAGGAUGAACGCUGGCGGCGUGCUUAACACAUGCAAGUCGAACGAACCUUCGGGUGAGUGGCGGACGGGUGAGUAACGCGUGAGGAUCUACCCUUAGGUUGGGGACAACCACUGGAAACGGUGGCUAAUACCCGAUGUGGCGAGAGCUGAAAGAUUAAUUGCCUGAGGAUGAACUCGCGUCUGAUUAGCUAGUUGGUGUGGUAAUGGCAUACCAAGGCGACGAUCAGUAGCUGGUCUGAGAGGAUGAUCAGCCACACUGGGACUGAGACACGGCCCAGACUCCUACGGGAGGCAGCAGUGGGGAAUUUUCCGCAAUGGGCGAAAGCCUGACGGAGCAACGCCGCGUGCGGGAGGAAGGUUUUAGGACUGUAAACCGCUUUUCUCAGGGAAGAAGCUCUGACGGUACCUGAGGAAUAAGCAUCGGCUAAUUCCGUGCCAGCAGCCGCGGUAAUACGGGAGAUGCAAGCGUUAUCCGGAAUUAUUGGGCGUAAAGCGUUCGCAGGCGGCUAAUCAAGUCUGCUGUCAAAGUCCGCAGCUCAACUGCGGGA